CUGUACUACAGGCACAAUCCACUCCACACUGCCCUGGAGAGGCUGAGCAGGAGUCUCACUGUUACUGCGUCAGAGUGGAGAGAGAGUGUGUAUGGAGCUGAAGUGAAAAAGGAAGAAGAGGAAGAAGGACCAUCAGAGCUGGAAAGAGUACAGAAAGAGCUGCAAUAUUUAUCAGAAAGAGAAAGAGCUUGUGAAUAAAAGGUGUUUGUGGGAAAAACAAAUCAUCAUCUGCCACUGGUACACUUACAGAACCAUCUGCUAAUAGAAGCUACCACUGUAUGAAAAGGACAGUUUUUUAUGCUGCAGAUUGUUUUCUGCAUCAUUAAUUGGUCUUGGUUCCUUUGUGCUAUUGACUUUAAUUCGAGAGGGUGUGUUUAUGUGUGGAGAGUUGAUGGGGAGGGGGAGAGAGAGAGUGAGAGACAUGAGCUGGGUUUAGAGUGAGCUGUUACAGGAAAAACUCCACUUAUGUAUGGAGUGGCUGUUUUGUCGACAACAGAUGGAAAAUAAACCACGAUGCCCUAUGCGAAA
Long non-coding RNA from Pygocentrus nattereri (red-bellied piranha), 528 nucleotides. RefSeq lists it as uncharacterized. The record is from RefSeq and is a predicted model, not a curated record. Lineage: Eukaryota; Metazoa; Chordata; Actinopteri; Characiformes; Serrasalmidae. The transcript has 2 exons.